GAGGGACGAAGAAAGAAGGAAGGUAUUUGCGAGCAUAAGGUCCUGAGGAACUAACUUUUCCUUUCAGAAAGAAAACUCAGAGGCUUUUUGUGUGUUGGUGGAAAUAAUCACAGAGACAGGAAAGCACAGUUGAGGAGAGGGUGAGCGUUGGCAUGGAGCCCUGGAGAGGCAGGUGGGGUUGGCAUCUGGUGCACAGCCGGGUGGAGUGGUACAUGCCUACAAUCCCAGAAGGCAGAGGAGGACAAACAGGAAGCAACCCAAGAAGACACAGUGAGCUGGACUUGUUGGCAUCUGGUGUAAUCGCAGCCCUGGGGACGCUGAGGCAGGAGGAUCUCCGGCAAGCUUGGAUUGUAUAAUGAGACCAUUUUCAAAUUAAAAAACAAAACAAAGGAACAUCAACAAGAACAACAAAAUCCCAAAGCACAAAUGGAACUUCCCUGUGUGGAGGGAAAAACCCCUCAUAGUUGAACUUCCCUGUGCCUAGACCUAAGGGGCACAUGGAUUACCUGAGAGGGGAAACACAUGUCCUUAGAGGCUGUUUCUGGUCAGAGCAGGAAAGUGACACAGACUAUCAGAAAUGAGGCUGAGAAUAUGGGAGUAGGUUUCACCUGAGAUUCAGACAGCCACGAGAAAAGGGGGGCUGGGAAAAGGGCAGUCUGAGAAGAGCAGUGAGUACCUGGGCUGAUAGAGGACAGAGGGUUUUGAGUCCCAGAAGAGGAUUUGUAAGACCAGGACAAAACGAGAGGGACAGAGGCACGGGAUGGGUGUGGGGCAGAGAGGAGAGAGUUCUUCAUGCUGGUUAAAGGUGGUGUGAGGUCUCUGGAACAGAUCUUCCUCAGAGCAGAUAUGUCUCUGUCUCCUUCGGGUAGAGAAUUUAUUUAUUUUUGGGGUUGGGGGUAAUGAACCCAGAGUCUUGGCCACACUAAUCCCAUUUCUACCACUUAAUGCUUCACAGAGCUGAUACUGAUACUAAACCACAAAUACCACAGUGAGAGAGAAUCGUCCAAAAGUAGACUUGUGCGUGACAAUACCACAUUUGUUUGCAUGACAAUACCACGCAAUAAAGUUUGCCCUCAAAAAAUAGAGCUUAAAGGGUGCAAUUUGGGGCUGAGGGUGGGGGACACAAUGGGUUAAAUGUGUAGGACAAAAUAAAACUAGGUUUUCAAAACCUGUGCCGAUCAAUUAACAAACUAGUGUUCAGCUGGGGAUGGGGCUUGGCUGGUAAAACCUGCACACGGAAAGCCUUGGGUUGGAUUCUCAUCACUAUAUAAAACGGGGUAUGGUGCACACCUAUAAUCCCAGGGCUCAGGAGGUAGGAGCAUCAGGAGUUCAAGGUCAUCCUUAACAACCUAGCAAAUUUGAGGUCAGCCUGGAUUAUAUGAAACUCUUGUCUCAAAAUAAAAUCAGCUGUAGAGAUGUCCCAGCAUCCAGAGUGCUUGCUCUUUCUCAGGAACAGUAUUCAAUUCCCAGCAUUCAGUGACUCCCAACACCAGCUUGCAACUCCGGCUCCCGGGGAUCUGGCGCCCUCUUCUGGCUCCCAUGAACACUGUGCAUGCACAUGGCGCACAUACACUCACGGUGGCAAAACACUCCAAACAUUCACAAAAAUGUGGCACUGCCCUAGAGUCACUCGUAGGCAGCCCGUUGACUUUCAGCAGAAACUGCUAAAUCAUGAAUUGACUUUGCCAACAAACGAUGUCUGAGGUAGUGUCUCAGCUGGAAGCAAAACGAUCCUUUCUCUUCCACCACGUGAGCUCUGUACCAGUCACCAGCCUCCAUUUAUGAACCGAAACCAUCAAUCUUCUUAAAGACAAUUCUAAGAACACAAACUAUAACAAUUGCUAGGUUGGGUUUCAUCAAAAUUAAAAACUGGGCUGGUGCAGAGGGUCAGACAUUUGGCAUCAAACCUAGUGACCUGGCUUUGAUCCUCAGGACUCGCACGGCAGGAGACAACCAAGUCCUGAGAGCUGUCCUCUGAUGUCCACAUUCAGGGCAUGGCGCAUGCACUCCGCUUACCCACCUGUCCCCUGCCCUGAGAGUAAAGAAGUGUAAACAUUUCAGGAAUUAUCCAGGGGACCAGAUGCCCUCCUCUGACCUCCCUGGGUACAUUUGGGCACAAAUGUUAACAUAAAAACCAGGUAAAAAGGGAUGUGCAAAACAACUCUAGCCUUUAAUCUCAGCAUUCAAGAAGAAGAGUUAGGUGGACCUCUGAGAGUUCAAAGUCAGUCUGAUCUACAUAGUGAGUUUCAAGACAGCCAGUAAUAUAUAGACUCUCUCAAACAAAACAAAACGAAAAUAUAUUUUAAAAUUUUAAGUUACAAAAACUCUUACGGCAGUCUGGAUUUAACAAUCCCCCCCCCCCUCCACAAGCCAUCUCUCCAUCCCCUAAAGACAGUCUUUAUAAGAUUAGGGACGUUUCUUUCCAUUUCUGGUUUGGCAAAAUACUUUUUAAAAUUACUCACCCAUUUAAUCCAAUCAGUGCUGGAUUGUGGCUGGAACUCUCUCUGUCUCUAUUGAGAUAACCAGCCGAGUUUUCUCCUUUUGAAGUCUGUCCUGAUCAAUUCACACAGACUGCUUUUUGAACAUUAACCAAACUUUACAUUCCUAAUGCAAAUAUGGCUUGGUGGUCAGUCCUUUGAGUAUCCCUUUGUGUCUGUCAAAUUCUGUUCGUUAAACUUGUUUGGGAAUUUCAUAGCUGUGUUCAUAAACAAAGCUGGCCCUUAAGUCUCCCUUAUUGAUCUUCAGAUUAGAGUCAGGGCCAACGCUGACUCUGUAAGGUGAGUUAAGGAUACCUUCUGUUCUUCAGAUGGAAAUUCCUAAACUUAUGGAAAAAGUGCAAUGGUGGUCUAUUUUCCCCUUGAAUACUCAACAUAAUGCAAAAGAGAAACCAUCUGAACUUGUAGUGUUCUUUCUGGGAAGACUUUUUUUUUUUUUUUUGGUUCUUUUUUUCGGAGCUGGGGACCGAACCCAGGGCCUUGCGCUUCCUAGGUAAGCGCUCUACCACUGAGCUAAAUCCCCAGCCCC
This is a long non-coding RNA of Rattus norvegicus (Norway rat), 3024 nucleotides long. RefSeq lists it as uncharacterized. Lineage: Eukaryota; Metazoa; Chordata; Mammalia; Rodentia; Muridae. The record is from RefSeq and is a predicted model, not a curated record.